UACGGAGGGUGCAAGCAUUAAUCGGAUUUAUUGGGCGUAAAGGGCGCGUAGGCGGGGAUAUAAGUCAGAUGUGAAAUCCCGGGGCUCAACCUCGGAACUGCAUUUGAAACUAUAUCUCUUGAGGAUAGGAGGAGAAAACGGAAUUCCACAAGUAGCGGUGAAAUGCGUAGAUAUGUGGAAGAACACCGGUGGCGAAGGCG
This 200-nucleotide ribosomal RNA is filed under the name uncultured bacterium. Its description in RNAcentral is "partial 16S ribosomal RNA". It matches the Rfam family "Bacterial small subunit ribosomal RNA", at positions 524 to 723 of the family's 1533-position model. The record is from RNAcentral.